This 71-nucleotide transfer RNA is filed under the name Marmota marmota marmota (Alpine marmot). It matches the Rfam family "tRNA". Rfam says of the family: Transfer RNA (tRNA) molecules are approximately 80 nucleotides in length. RNAcentral also lists the same sequence under 1 other name. Lineage: Eukaryota; Metazoa; Chordata; Mammalia; Rodentia; Sciuridae. The record is from Rfam by way of RNAcentral.
GGGGUGGUGGCUCAGUGGUAGAGUGUUCACCUAGCAUGUGUGAGGCACUGGGUUUGAUUCUCAGCACCGCA